GUAGGUGGCAAGCGUUGUCCGGAAUUAUUGGGCGUAAAGCGCGCGCAGGCGGUUCUUUAAGUCUGAUGUGAAAGCCCACGGCUCAACCGUAGAGGGUCAUUGGAAACUGGAGAACUUGAGUACAGAAGAGGAAAGCGGAAUUCCACGUGUAGCGGUGAAAUGCGUAGAGAUGUGGAGGAACACCAGUGGCGAAGGCGGCUUUCUGGUCUGUAACUGACGCUGAGGCGCGAAAGCGUGGGGAGCAAACAGGGAUUAGAUACCCUGGUAGUCCACGCCGUAAACGAUGAGUGCUAAGUGUUAGGGGGUUUCCCGCCCCCUUAGUGCUGCAGCUAACGCAUUAAGCACUCCGCCUGGGGAGUACGGCCGCAAGGCUG
This 374-nucleotide ribosomal RNA is filed under the name uncultured organism. RNAcentral's name for it is "partial 16S ribosomal RNA". It matches the Rfam family "Bacterial small subunit ribosomal RNA", at positions 527 to 896 of the family's 1533-position model. The record is from RNAcentral.